ACGGAGGUUCCUAGCGUUGUUCGGAAUUACUGGGCGUAAAGGGAGCGCAGGCGGAUCGAUAAGUCUAAAGUGGAAUCCCGGGGCUCAACCUCGGACGUGCUUUGGAUACUGCCGGUCUUGAGUUCGUGAGAGGAAGGCGGAAUUCAGGGUGUAGCGGUGAAAUGCUUAGAUAUGAUACAGAACACCAAUUGCGAAGGCAGGUGACUAAGCCGUAACUGACGCUGAGGCUCGAAAGCGUGGGGAUCAAACAGGA
RNAcentral lists this ribosomal RNA (253 nucleotides) under uncultured prokaryote. RNAcentral's name for it is "partial 16S ribosomal RNA". It matches the Rfam family "Bacterial small subunit ribosomal RNA", at positions 525 to 777 of the family's 1533-position model. The record is from RNAcentral.